RNAcentral lists this transfer RNA (74 nucleotides) under Octadecabacter temperatus. It matches the Rfam family "tRNA". From Rfam's summary of the family: Transfer RNA (tRNA) molecules are approximately 80 nucleotides in length. Their secondary structure includes four short double-helical elements and three loops (D, anti-codon, and T loops). Lineage: Bacteria; Pseudomonadati; Pseudomonadota; Alphaproteobacteria; Rhodobacterales; Roseobacteraceae. The record is from Rfam by way of RNAcentral.
GGUCCCUUAGCUCAGCUGGAUAGAGCGCUGCCCUCCGAAGGCAGAGGCCAGAGGUUCGAAUCCUCUAGGGACCG